CCUGGGAACUGCGUUNUGAACUGGGUGACUAGAGUGUGUCAGAGGGAGGUAGAAUUCCACGUGUAGCAGUGAAAUGCGUAGAGAUGUGGAGGAAUACCGAUGGCGAAGGCAGCCUCCUGGGAUAACACUGACGUUCAUGCUCGAAAGCGUGGGUAGCAAACAGGAUUAGAUACCCUGGUAGUCCACGCCCUAAACGAUGUCAAUUAGCUGUUGGGCAACUUGAUUGCUUAGUAGCGUAGCUAACGCGUGAAAUUGACCGCCUGGGGAGUACGGUCGCAAGAUUAAAACUCAAAGGAAUUGACGGGGACCCGCACAAGCGGUGGAUGAUGUGGAUUAAUUCGAUGCAACGCGAAGAACCUUACCUGGUCUUGACAUGUACGGAAUCCUCCAGAGACGGAGGAGUGCCUUCGGGAGCCGUAACACAGGUGCUGCAUGGCUGUCGUCAGCUCGUGUCGUGAGAUGUUGGGUUAAGUCCCGCAACGAGCGCAACCCUUGUCAUUAGUUGCCAUCAUUUAGUUGGGCACUCUAAUGAGACUGCCGGUGACAAGCCGGAGGAAGGUGGGGAUGACGUCAAGUCCUCAUGGCCCUUAUGACCAGGGCUUCACACGUCAUACAAUGGUCGGUACAGAGGGUAGCCAAGCCGCGAGGUGGAGCCAAUCUCACAAAACCGAUCGUAGUCCGGAUUGCACUCUGCAACUCGAGUGCAUGAAGUCGGAAUCGCUAGUAAUCGCAGGUCAGCAUGCUGCGGUGAAUACGUUCCCGGGUCUUGUACACACCGCCCGUCACACCAUGGGAGUGGGGGAUACCAGAAGUAGGUAGGGUAACCGCAAGGA
Molecule: ribosomal RNA, 833 nt
Filed under: uncultured bacterium
Lineage: Bacteria
Description: bacterial SSU rRNA
Rfam family: Bacterial small subunit ribosomal RNA
Source: RNAcentral